Ctenopharyngodon idella (grass carp) is the source of this 4717-nucleotide long non-coding RNA. RefSeq lists it as uncharacterized. The record is from RefSeq and is a predicted model, not a curated record. The transcript is spliced from 2 exons. Lineage: Eukaryota; Metazoa; Chordata; Actinopteri; Cypriniformes; Xenocyprididae.
AAAAAUAAUUGUCAUUUGGAACAUUAGUCAUUAACACAGUUUUGUCGUAUAUAUACUUUAUUUAUAUACAAUGAGCUCCACCCCCUUUGGUCAUUGUUGUUAACAAGCUUUAUGUCAUCUCAUAGGAAUGAACUGGAGAUUUUCACAGCAUGAUUUUCAGUACAAUAUUCUCUCUCUCUCUUUAAAGAAAUGAAACUACACAGUAACAAUCAAUUGAUUAAUUAAUAACAAUUAAUAAUAUAUAAUAUUCAUUAAUAUUUAAUUAAUUAAUAUUUAAAUAUUUGGAGAAGCAAAAUAAAUUAAAAAAUCACUAUCCGCUCUCUGUACCUUAUUGUAUCACUAUUAUAAGCAAAGACUAUAGAAUAACACAAGACGCAUCACUCGUAUUGUUUUGAAUGGGAGAAAAUGCAGCGCGCAAUAUGGCGGAAUAAGCCCCGUCUUCUAAAUAAGAGCCAAUCGCCGAUUGGUAAAGUAAUCAGUGCUGCCUUAUCAUAAAAGAAAAUACUCACUUUCACUCUGUUCCUUAAAGACAUUGCCUGAGGAAAAAACAUCCUCUUGUGGCUAAUUUUACUGGAGACUUUUGUUUCUGUACACAUGGAAAGAAUAAUGAGCAGGACAUUGUAAAGAAGACCUCAAACAGAUUUCAUGACCAUAAAUAAUGCACUCGAUGGCAAACACUGCAUCCAGUUGAACAUGUUUCACACCUCCAAAAGUUUGAUGAUGACGGUAAAAAGGUAUUCUCAAAUGUUAUGGUCUUAAAAGAGGCAAAAUUUGACCUAGAAACAGAAAAUGUGAAUCACACUUCCUACAUCAUCCCUCACGCCAUUACACACACACACAUCCAUACACAUGGUGAAUUACAUCCUCAGCUCCAGUCACAGAGACGUGCUUGCAUGCCAUAAUUGGAACGCACACAUAAAGCUGUGCCCCAGGACUGCUGGAGGGUGUGUAGCUCUUUGAGUUAGUGUUCACGUUCAUGACGCCCGUGGGUUAUGAGUGGGAAGAGACUGACAGCUGCUGUUUGUUACACAGCUACAAAGGACAAAAAAAAAAAAAAAAACCUGGGGUGUAGCUAGUGUUGCCACCACAACCAUGUUUAAACUUGCUCCAUACUGUAGAAAAAACAAUUUGAAAAAUGUUUAAGUUGUUAAUUACAUAGUUCCCACAGCUUUUGACCAAGACAUGACUUUUGUUUGUUUUUAAUUAGUGGAUAAAGAUUUGUUUAAAAAAAAAAAAAAAACGAUUGCCAACUCAGAUUUACAUUUGUAUGUCAGCCCUUGAAAUUAAUAGAUUAAUUAAUAGAUUCUCAUUUUUUUUGUCCAAUAUAACAAAAAACAAACAAACAAAAACAAACUAAACAACAACAACAAAAAAAGUCCUUGAAUAAAAAUGCAGCCCUAUGGAGGAUUCAGCUUAUACAGAAACUGUGUUAGCUAGUCACUUAGGCUUCCAAAAAUAAAAAUAAUUGACGACGGGCAGUUGAAUUCUUAGAAAAUAAUGCACACCUGAGGUGGUAAUGCGGCCACGACGCAAAGCGAGUUAACACACCUCAAGACACUCUUCCGAUGUAUAAAAACAAACAAACAAACAAAAACACUGUUCCGAUGUUGUAUUUCAAGACAUUUGUCAGGUUUUUGUCCUUAAAACACUCUUGUGUGUGGGACUAAUUUCUUACGCAUCUCAUCCCAAGCCUCCGUUGCUAAUUCCAAAACUCAUUUCUGAACUAGUAACGGAGGCUUGAGCCUUGAUAGCAAAAUCAUAAUACCGUUGAUACAGUUAUUAACGCAAUUGAGAGAGAGAGAGAGAGAGAGAGAGAGAGAGAGAGAGAAAGAGAGAGAGAGAAUAAGCUUGUGAGUUAGGCUACCUGAUCUGAGUCUCUGACGGCAGCAGUGUCUCUAGUAAUAGCGAAACUAUAAGUUUAUCUCAAGAACCGCACAGUUAUUACCUCGCCGGUGAGUUAUGUAUCUUUUAAGUUGCUAAACUAUUUUACUGAUUAUUUCGUCGGAGCAGCACAGACCAAACGUUUCUGUGCGAGUGUGUGUGUCCAUACUACAUUACGUGACGUGUACGUUUGAAAGAGAGAGAGAGAGCGGAAGAGAGUUCAGUACACAAUAAAACGUAUUUUGUGGCAAAAACAAUGACAAUAAUUUGUCGUUUUCAUUGUUUACUAUAUUUAUUUGCUUUGUCGGUGUCGUUGUGGGUUUUGUUUCUUUUGCGGUUGUAGGCUGUAAGGACCUAAAUAACUGAAAUCAUUUGGCGAAGUGAUAUGGAACUGUAAUGCGGUCAAGACCUGCUAGAACUACUUUAGCCGUGCGUUUCCUAACGGCUCCGUCUUCCCUGAAAAUAAUUGCACACCUUUGAACGUUGGUCAACCAAUCAGAUUCGAGCAUUCAACAGCCCCGUGGUAUAAAGGAUAAAAAUCAUUAUCAUCAUCAAUCAAUUAUAAUAAUAAUUUUGGGGUCAGUAAGAUUUUUUAUGUUUUUAAAGAAAUUACUUUUUAUUCAGCAAGGCAGCCUUAAACCAAUCAAAAGUGACAGUAAAGACAUUUAUAAUGUUACCAUAAAAGAAUCCUGUUUAAAAAAACAUAUCACAGUUUCCAUAAAAAUAUAAAGCAGCAAAAAUGUUUUCAACUGUUUUCAACUGUUUUUUUUUUCUUGAACAUAAAAUCAGCAUAUUAGAAGGAUUUCAGAAGGAUCAUGUGACUCAAGACUAGAGUAAUGAUGCUGAAAGUUCAGCAUUGCCAUCACAGGAGUAAAUUCCUAUUAUAAUAUAUUUUAAAUUUUAAACAGAUAUUUCACAAUAUCGCUGAUUUUAGUGUAUUUUUGGUCAAAUAAAUGCAGCCUAGGUGAGCAAAAGAUACUUUUUUCAAAAACAAAAAUCUUACUGACCCCAAACUUUUGAAUGGUACAGUAAAUAUAUUUACAGACACUGUUUUGAUGUGAAGCGAGUGCCAUCUCACCUAUAAAUUCAAUUUAUCUGCACAGCGGGUGUUUGUGUAACAGAAUGCAAGGACACUCCUGUGAGAAGGCCGCAGCAUCUCUAAAUUCAGACUGUCACAGUGUUUUAAAAGAGCUCUAAAUGUUAUGCAAGAGAUCUGCUGCUGGCUUGUGCUCAUCUCACCUACUUCUCUGCUUUGACUGGAGCCAAUGGAAAGCUCAAGCUGCGCUGCGUCCAGUAAGCUGCCUUUCCUAUUGUUAACUCAUAGAGAUUACUGCAAGCCUUCCUAUUGUGCAAUGGAGCAAACAGCCAAUGGAAAAGAAAAGCUUGUUGAAUGUGAACCAUAGACAGGGUUUUUUUCUACUCCGUGUAAUUUGGCUGCGUAUUUUGUAUUUAAAUACUGAAAUUUAAGGCUUCAUUCAGAUAUUUCUUCUGAUCUUUCAGAAAUAUAAAAGACGACACUCAGAAUCUGGUGCUCUUAUAGAGAUGAUGAAUAUUGCAGGUUUUAUCUUUCUACUAACAUGAUAUAUUAAAAUAUAAAAGCUCUGGAUAAAGAAAAAAAAUGUAAAGCUGCAGUGUGUAAUUUCUUUGCACUAAAACGGCAUUAAAAUGGGGUUGAGCAGAGAAAUUUGUCUGCUUUUUGCUUUCAACAUUGUUUGAUUAGUGACACAGCAAUGAUGGUUCAAACAAUAGAAGGUUUUAGGAAACCUAUGUGAAAAAUGCUAUUAUGUAUUGCAAUAAAUGUAUUUUUUAGGAUAAAUCCCUUGAGAUGAAACAUUUUGUUAUUGAAACAAUAUUUUUGGAAUUCCAUUUAGCACCACUAAUGGUGCAGAAAUUAUAAACUGCAGCUUUAAAAUUUAAGAAAAUGGUGUGAUGAACAUGCCAAAUGCCAAAAUUCUGUGCCUACUAUAAAAAAAAGAAAAGAAAAAAAGAUGAAUUAUGAAAUAAGCAUAUUGAAACAGGUCUAAAACAAUCACCAUCAUUUAUUUACAAUAUAUUAAACUGUAAUGCAAAAUUAUUACUUAUAUCAAGUGGUCAUUUAUUCAAUAAAGAAAAUAAACAUUAGCCAUUUUGAAAGCUAAAAUGAAAUCAUACAGAUAUUUAUAUAUUUUCAUAUUAAUGUGUACAGCCAGCAAAUGUUAUGUAUCUUGAAGCCACGUGUUUUAAUUCGCCAGAGACAUCAUUUUUUCAUAUUAAAAUCAAUACUGACUGCAUAGAAAAGAGGAUAAAGUGGUUGACCUUUGCAGAGGGUCUAUAAAACUAAUACACAUGUAAAAUACACACGGUGUCUCCCUUUAAAAAUCAAAGAGAAGCAAUGAGAUCCUUUCACUGCUAUUAUGCUGUUGCUUUAUAUUUUGCCAGCUUCGCUCAAUCCAUCAAUGCUAGAUCAUAAAUACUACAAUGAAAGCAGUACAACAAAACAACAGAAGGCAACGACGGAAAUUGGAGGGGUGCGUGUCCGUACGGGUUCAAGUGAGUCUCAAAGCCAUUAGGUAAGGCCAAAAAUACUGAUGAAUCCAAUGUGACGACAUGCUGUAGGGAAGCUGGGAUUUCACAGUAUCGGUUCUGUCUCCAUCUUGUGCUUCUGGUUGCAUCACAUCAGCAUGAAAAGCAACUUUGAAGCUGUUUGUUUAUCCAGUAUCAGUGGAGUUGGAUGAGAAAUUACCACAAUGCCCCAUAUACCCAAGAAUAUAAGCAUUCCCUUGGGAAAGCCAGACAUCUACGGUAACCAAAACAAAAAAGCCUGAGAACAACGACAACCACAACAAGAAAGUGUGGG